ACAGAAAGGGCGGCUCCCCGGAGGCAAACGCUGCAGGGCCACACAUUUGGCAUAUGGAAUCAGAGCUGUAGCGGCUGGCCUAUGCCACAACCACAGUAACGCAGGAUCCUUAACCUCCUGAGCGAGGCCUGGGAUCGAACCAUGUCCUCAUGGAUGCUAGUCAGGUUUGUUUCUAAUGAGCCACAAUGGGGACUUCCUUCCUUCCUUUUUUUUUUUUUUUUUUUUUUUUGCUUUUUAGGGCCACACCCAUGGCAUAUGGAAGUUCCCAGGCUAGGUGUUGAACUGGAGCUGCAGCUGCAGGCCUACACCACAGCCACAGCAAUUCUGGAUCUGAGCUGCAUCUUUGACCUACAACACAGCUCAUGGCAACACCAGAUCCUUAACCCACUGAGCGGGGCCCACAUCCUCAUGGCUAUUAGUCAGGUUCUUAACCUGUUGGGCCACGACUGGAACUCUGGAUUGAGCUUUUUCUAAAUCUCUGGCAGGGCCAGGACAGAAGGUAGGGGCUGGGAAGGAAAAGAAGCCAAGACCUGGAGUUCCCUAGUGGCUCAGUGGGUUAGGGAUCCAGCGUUGUCACUGCUGUGUUUCUGAUUACUGCUGUGGUGGGGGUUCGACCCCUGGCCCGGGAACUUCCACAAAAAAAGAAGCCAAGCCCUGACUGCCAACCUGUGAUCUGGGCCGAAGAGGGGCCAGACCCUGAGGGAGCAGGAUGCAGUGCCCUCCACCUGUUUAUCAUCCUGUGGGAUUAUAGCCAAAUGCUGAGCCUGAGUGCGGGAGAAUGAGAGGCUUUUGAGAACAGAGAGCUGUGAGAAAUGAGUCGAAUUUACACCACGAGAAUAAGCUUCUGGGAGAAUUGCAAGACUCUUAACCAGGCCAGCUUCACAGAAACCUCUCUGCUGUGUGCUUGGUUCAAGGCAUAAACCUUCGCUGUGCUUCAGUUAGAUGAAAAGUCCAGAGACACGUACAGAGGUGUGUCUAAGACAGCUGAAUGUUUUCCUGGAACCCUGCAGGUUUCCAAAGUUCUCCUGAUCCCAAAGAGAUGCUUUUGGUCAAUAGAACCUUGACUAAAAUCCAUUACGAUUCCAGAACCAAGUCUAAUUCUACCAGGAAAAUAAAAUGAAAUCAGACCAUCUGGUGAUGCUGUGAAAACUGGCCGUUCUGGGAAGAAGCCCCGUUAUAGUGGCGACUGUUUGGAAUCCUUGGAUGGGAAGGGACAGAAGGACAGACUGACCAGCAUGACUGUCGGCCCCUUCACCGUUGCUCAAUUCUGGACUAGACCCUACUGUGGGGCCAGAGGUCAAGGCCAGCCCGGAGGGCAGCUUUGGAGGGAGGGGAGGGGAGCUGCCUCACAACUCCUGGGAGACUGGGUUCCAGGAGAACAGGGAUUAGGGUCCCAUUGGAGCCGACUCAGCGGGGUAGUAUGGAAAUGUCACCCUUCCUGGUGACAGGGCAGGAGGGAGAGGAGAGAGGGCAGAGGGGAAUACCAAGGACAACAGGAGCCUUUCCAAGUUCAGUUCUGGCCCCGUCCCUUUACGGGGCUGUUUUCUGGGGUGCCCUCCUCCCACUUGCUGGGUCUGACUUGGAGGGACCCCUCUGGGCCCCAUUGUCUCUCCCCCCAGGGUGUGGCCAGGCUCUGGCCCAGGCGUGCACACUGCAGCGCGCCGGAGGCGUUGUGCUGAACAAGUGAUCAUCGGCGCAGUCUGCCAGCCACCCCUGAAGUCCUCUUGUCCCUCGUCCUGAAGUGGGUGUAACCUUUACUGCGGGCUCACGGCGCCAGGCCUUGGGUGAACUGUCCGUGCAGAGUCCCAGGGGUGCCAAGUGUGUCAUUUUCUUUCUGGCAACCACAUUUUGCAUCAUUAGAAGUGUCUUUGAAAUGCAGUGUUUUAAUUACACGGGCAAAUGCUGCCCCAGGGAAGGGGCCUUUUCCCAGACACUUCAGGAACUCCUUGGCAAGCUGCCCUUCCUAGGGCAGCACUGCUCGACAGUGCCUGUGCCUGUGACCCACCCAGGUGUGCUGUCCAAGCAGGAGCCUGGGCCCAAAGAGGGGCCUCUAGGGAAGAGAAAGAAACCCUGAUGCAGAGAGCCCCCUGCUCCCCAGCUCCCCAACACCCAGAGGCCCCCACUCCCACACUACCCCCAGGUCCCUUGGGUUAUAACCCAAAGAUUGGGAACCCAAAGGGUUUCUGCAGGCACAGCCCCUCCUCCCAUAUCAAAAUAUUCCCUCUGCUCCGUGCAAAACUGCACCGUCUUCCUGGAGCUUCAGGGCUGGUGUGUGUUUAUAUCUGCCAGCUGAGCCGGCAAUGGCUUUCCCAUGUGUCUCAGGCCUGGCCCCCUACACAGCUUUUCUCUUUGUUCUCAGAAACCAAACAGAGCCAGGCAUGCCAAAGCCAGGAGGGAGUUUCCGGGAAACAUCUGGGCUGGCUGGGCAGAGGUGGGCCAUGUCCCUGGCUCCCUGGAGGCCUCUGUGUGGCCCUCAGAGGCCAGCCAGCCCCCAGCCCCUGAGACCUCCACCUCCUGGGUUUUCCUGGGCUAACGCCCUGUCCUGGGAGCCGGGUAUUUAUAUUAAAAUCCAAAAUUAUAUUUGAAAUGGUAAUUAAGAUCAAAGUGACUCUGCUAUGCACCCUGGGGACACCACAGUCUGGACAGGUGACACAGCCUCUGUCUCCUUCAAGGGCACCAGCUUGUGGAGGGCUUCUCACAGGGACCAUCAGCAUCACAGUUUACCUUUGGGGUGCACUUGGAAAUUAAAGGUGUCUAAUCUUUAAGAAUGAUAAAAAACUUGGGAAGAACUCUCUUGACAGAUGACACUCAGACGUUUCCUCAGAUAAGCGUGGUAGAGCCACUCCCAGUCUUGCUUUUCCAAUCUUAUUUACCUACUGAGCCAGGUGUGGCAGAUGGCCGAGAGCUGCUGGGAGGCAGGUUUCUCUCCCUUUUGAUGCUCCCCAAAACUGUGGGAGCCAGUGAGGUUCACCCUGCCUGUAUCCUUGGGAUGCCUUUGAUGUGCCUGUCAGGGAGUAUGUCUUCUUGUGGCUCCAUCAGGAUGUCCUGUUUUAUUAAAUUGCAUAUUCCCUUUUUUUUUUUUUUUUUUUUUUUUUUUUGUGUGUGUGUGGCUGUUUAGGGCUACACCCACAGCAUAUGGAAGUUCCCCAGGCUAGGGGCUGAAUUGGAGCUACAGCUGCCAGCUAUAGCCACAGCCACACAAGAUCCUUAACCCACUGAGUGAGGCCAGGGAUCAAACCCGAUUCCUCCUGGAUACUAGUUGGCUUCGUAACCUGCUGAGGCACAACAGCAACUUCCUAUCCUUAACUGGCAUAUCCUCACUGAAACUCUGUGGUCUCUUCUCAAGGAAUUUUCCAGUAAAAAAAAGUUUUCCUGGCCAGCUUGUAAGCAGUACUAGCAUUUGGGUCAGCACUAAUCCAUGUGGCAGUUCACCACCUGUGAGACCACCUGGAAGAUUUUCAAGAUCAGGCAGAUUCACAGGCUUAAACAGGCAGGUUGGCUCGACCCAAUGAAAUGCCCUGAGACCCCAGUGGUGGGAGGGACAGGGCACCCAUGUCUCCUCCACCUCCCAUCACCACACAUGCACUUGUUACUCAAGUCAAACCACAGGGAGGGCUGUUCAUUUUUAAAGAAUAUCAAACUUUAAAAAAAAAAUCAAAUUGCAUUCUUAUAAACACCCUUCUGACCAUCCCAUUCUGAUGACAGAGCUACAUUUUGGGGACUUGUUCCAAAGGGUUAUGGUUUUAUCCGCUUCCAAGACCUGGGAGCUUCUCGGGAGGACAAAGGCUGGCUCCCCUCCUAAGACUCCCACAGUAAAGGCUCCACUUCAUUGCCAACUUUGACAAAUCAGCCUCCUCUAAGAUAAUCUUCCGGGUUUUCAUGUUGCAACACACACUAAACCGCAGAGGUUAUGACUUCUCUGUGUUUCUUCUUUUGUGAACCACCAGGCAGGGUGGCAAGCCCUGCCCACUUCCUGUUCACGUGUUGGAUCGCAACGACCUUUUACUCCAGGAAGUGAAGUCCAAAGCAAACCCUGAACAAUAGCCAGGCCUCUCCCUGAGGUGGACGGUCCAGCCUGGUUACCGAUUCAGAAUCGCCUUAUCUUCAGAACAAGCUGCAAUCACUUAUGUAACAAAUCCCAGCCACUCUUUCCAAACUCCAGACCUUAAGAGUGAAAUAUGGAUUAAUUCUACACUUAAGCAUAAAGAUAUUGAUCUU
RNAcentral lists this long non-coding RNA (4218 nucleotides) under Sus scrofa (pig). RNAcentral's name for it is "lncRNA (ENSSSCG00055014991.1)". The record is from RNAcentral. Lineage: Eukaryota; Metazoa; Chordata; Mammalia; Artiodactyla; Suidae.